UACGGAGGAUGCAAGCGUUAUCCGGAAUGAUUGGGCGUAAAGCGUCCGCAGGUGGCUAUGUAAGUCUGCUGUUAAAGAGUCUGGCUCAACCAGAUAAAGGCAGUGGAAACUACAUGGCUAGAGUGCGUUCGGGGCAGAGGGAAUUCCUGGUGUAGCGGUGAAAUGCGUAGAGAUCAGGAAGAACACCGGUGGCGAAGGCGGCCAGCUGGGCCGUCCCUGACGCUGAGGCGCGAAGGCGUGGGGAGCGAACGGG
This 253-nucleotide ribosomal RNA is filed under the name uncultured bacterium. RNAcentral describes it as "partial 16S ribosomal RNA". It matches the Rfam family "Bacterial small subunit ribosomal RNA", at positions 524 to 776 of the family's 1533-position model. The record is from RNAcentral.